RNAcentral lists this long non-coding RNA (244 nucleotides) under Elaeis guineensis (African oil palm). Its description in RNAcentral is "long non-coding RNA (EGUI_LNC033741)". Lineage: Eukaryota; Viridiplantae; Streptophyta; Magnoliopsida; Arecales; Arecaceae. The record is from RNAcentral.
UCUUCUUAUUUUUGAUUUGAAUCAAAUUUAAAUCAGAAAAGAGAUAAGGAUCAUGACUCACAUGAGUGCCACCCACUCCUUUCUAUGCCCUCCUUUCUCAUGCCAAAAUACCUCACGCAAAACUCCCUUGGCUUGUAAUAAGUGGUGUGGGUCCUAGGGCAUGCGCAAGGGAGAGAAUUCCAGGUGGUUGGGACUCUAGAAUUUUUUAUUUGAUUCCAAUCCAAAUCAGAUUUAUUUUAGACCC